Molecule: ribosomal RNA, 496 nt
Filed under: uncultured bacterium
Lineage: Bacteria
Description: partial 16S ribosomal RNA
Rfam family: Bacterial small subunit ribosomal RNA
Source: RNAcentral
GAUGAACGCUGGCGGCGUGCCUAAUACAUGCAAGUCGAGCGAACAGAUAAGGAGCUUGCUCCUUUGACGUUAGCGGCGGACGGGUGAGUAACACGUGGGUAACCUACCUAUAAGACUGGGAUAACUUCGGGAAACCGGAGCUAAUACCGGAUAAUAUUUCGAACCGCAUGGUUCGAUAGUGAAAGAUGGUUUUGCUAUCACUUAUAGAUGGACCCGCGCCGUAUUAGCUAGUUGGUAAGGUAACGGCUUACCAAGGCGACGAUACGUAGCCGACCUGAGAGGGUGAUCGGCCACACUGGAACUGAAACACGGUCCAAACCCCUACGGGGGGCAGCGGUGGGGAAUUUUCCGCAAUGGGCGAAAGCCUGACGGGGCAACGCCGCGUGAGUGAUGAAGGUCUUCGGAUCGUAAAACUCUUUUAUUAGGGAAAAACAUACGUGUAAGUAACUGUGCACGUCUUGACGGUACCAAAGCAGAAAGCCACGGCUAACUACGU